This 440-nucleotide ribosomal RNA is filed under the name uncultured bacterium. RNAcentral's name for it is "partial 16S ribosomal RNA". It matches the Rfam family "Bacterial small subunit ribosomal RNA", at positions 338 to 795 of the family's 1533-position model. The record is from RNAcentral.
CCUACGGGUGGCAGCAGUGGGGAAUAUUGCACAAUGGGGGAAACCCUGAUGCAGCGACGCCGCGUGAGUGAAGAAGUAUUUCGGUAUGUAAAGCUCUAUCAGCAGGGAAGAAAAUGACGGUACCUGAUUAAGAAGCCCCGGCUAACUACGUGCCAGCAGCCGCGGUAAUACGUAGGGGGCAAGCGUUAUCCGGAUUUACUGGGUGUAAGGGGAGCGUAGACGGCAGCACAAGUCUGGAGUGAAAUGCCGGGGCUUAACCCCGGAACUGCAUUGGAAACUGGGCAGCUAGAGUGCAGGAGAGGUGAGUGGAAUGCCUGGUGUAGCGGUGAAAUGCGGAGAUAUGAGGAGGAACACGAGUGGCGAAGGCGGCUUACUGGACUGUAACUGACGUUGAGGCUCGAAAGCGUGGGGAGCAAACAGGAUUAGAUACCCCUGUAGUC